UAUGUGUGAGUGUGAGCACCUCCGUCUGUGUGGUUUUAUUGACACCGUGCACAACGUCUUGGGUGCGUCUUACUUUCCGAAUGUCUUAGAAUCUGGAGAGUUCGGUAAUUGUCAGUGAGACCACUGCCCAGAGAGGCCAGGGGCACGAGAGACCCGAAAGAGGGCAGGGGGGGAGGCGGGUUGUUUGACCAUACUUCACCACGCUGGUUCAAUGCAGGUUGAUGAAGUUGAGAAGGCCCAUGACCGGUGCACAGGAAUCACACACCACUGAUGUUAGCCGUGGCCAGGAAUCGAACUCACGAGCCCAAGUUUGCAGUUUGCUCUUGCAUUAACAUCUGGUAAUUCAGGACCAGUUGUUAACAAGCCUGAAGCCCAGUAUACAUGGGACGUUGGGGCAGCUUUGGGCCAACGUUUCCAAUCACAUGCUAAGGUUGGGCCAACGCUGAACCAACGUUGGGUCAACGCUGAACCAACGUUGGGUCAACGCUGAACCAACGUUGGGUCAACAUUGGGCCAGCGGACUUGUAUGAUAAAUUAAUGAAUGAUUUAAAUUCAGCGACUCGGUUAUCAUUUUCUCUAUGUUGCACUCCGUGCGUGUUUUUGUGUUGUUUGCUGCUGUAACUUGCUGACCCGCCCAUGCUGGACAUGUGCGAAAAAGAGCUUCAUAGCUCAUCGGAUUCCUUGCAGUCUCAAUACAGAUUCUGAAUCUGUUUACUGGGUGACUGCCUGAUGAGACCCGGCAUUUCGAAACCGGUGCGGAGUUUCCUUUUCUUGACCAAAUACUGCUGAAUAAUAUCACUGGUCUGGAAGGCCAAAAGGUUAUUGAUAUGGACAGAGGACAAAGUUCUGCUCAUGAUGGCAAUUGAAGUUAAUGGAAAUGGCUUAAAAGCAAUUUUAAUGGACUAUACCACUACACACCAAGCAAGGGGGGAGAGGGAGGUCGUAGUUGGAAGUUAAUGAUUAACAACCCGGAUCUUACACCCAUUUCAACAACUUUAUUUUCUGAACUAAAUUAAUUGAACACAGCAUUAAUUUAUAUAUAAUAUCGAUUCAUUAUAUUAAAAUUAUCAGGAACGGUAAUGAACCUGGGGAUUUUAAACCGGGUUUCGGUAGAAACAAUCUCCCCCUCCCACCCCCCUCACGUGAGCGGGACACUUGGUAUGGCCCAUCGAGGGUCGCCACCACGUGGGAACGAAGCAGGGCUCAUUGCGGGAGGAAAUCCCUCCUGAGCGGACGUGGGGACUGCGUUGUUCGCGGGCCAGCGAGGGUCUCGGGGGUCUCGGGGGUCUCGGGGGUCUUGGACCGGUUCCGGAGUCCCUGGACUCCCACAGUAGGCGAGAACGAAGAGGAGAGGACCGCGCUGAUGGGAACCGGGGUGUGAGCUGGUGCUGUUUGCGAGCGCCUAUUAAGGGCGGCGCGGCGUGCGGAGAGGGAGUCGGUGUGGCCAGCGCAGCAGCCGCGCCCAGGCCGCCCACGGAUCGCACGCCACACCAGACACAGCCCGCGGUCGUUUCAAGGUCGAGGGUGAUGUCGCUGCUCCGUGUGUGAUCCAAAGUGAGUGAUUUUUCGGUGUAAUUUUUUCCAAUUUGGCAAAUUUGGACCAUGACGCUGGCACACAACGGUCGAAUUCCCGUUUUCACUGACGUCACGGGACCUUCAGCGUCCACUGCGAGUGAAGCAAACGGCGCAGUUGGUAUUUUACGGUUUAUACAAACCACCGCAAGUGUUAACCGGGGCGGCCCACCAGGGAUGAACCGCGAACCUCUGCAGCGAGUGGCGAGCGCGCCACCGCUGGGCCACGUCGGUGAACAUUAGACCUGGGGAAAGUACGAAUUGUAACCGUGUCUCGUGAUGGGUUACGCUCAUCUGCGCACACACACACAGUGUACACGCGUGCACGUUUGUGGGGAGCGGUGGUGCAGUGGUUAGCGCAC
Molecule: non-coding RNA, 1934 nt
Organism: Petromyzon marinus (sea lamprey)
Lineage: Eukaryota; Metazoa; Chordata; Hyperoartia; Petromyzontiformes; Petromyzontidae
Source: RefSeq, a predicted model, not a curated record